AAAAUAAAUUGUGAUCAACAAACAAAAUGGAACAAAUCUGGUACUACCCUCUUUGAAACUCUACUCUGCUGCUUUUUCCAACAAAACAAUAGCUUAGGCAGCUUGGAAGGCUACUUUUUCUUGUCAUGGACAGCUCAAUCACUGGUUGACAUGGCGCAUGCAAAAAUUGCUCAAGGGAAAAUGAUGCCAGAUAACUUUCAAAUACAAUAUUAAAACACAUAAGCUUUGCACAACUCAAGAGGAAUUCAGUGAAAGCACUAACAGAGCAAUUCUGAAGACGAUAGAAAAUACACAGAUUAUCAAUUGACAUUAAGAUUUCAUUAGUCCUAGACGAAAGUCAAAUAUGAAUGACACAACCGCCAUUGAUACCUAAAAACUAGGAAACAUAAACACUUUAAUGUGAUAUAUGAAUCCCAUGAAAAACCUGAA
Molecule: unclassified non-coding RNA, 429 nt
Filed under: Hevea brasiliensis (rubber tree)
Lineage: Eukaryota; Viridiplantae; Streptophyta; Magnoliopsida; Malpighiales; Euphorbiaceae
Source: RNAcentral